Molecule: ribosomal RNA, 464 nt
Filed under: uncultured bacterium
Lineage: Bacteria
Description: partial 16S ribosomal RNA
Rfam family: Bacterial small subunit ribosomal RNA
Source: RNAcentral
ACGAACGCUGGCGGCGUGCUUAACACAUGCAAGUCGAACGGAAAGGCCCCUUUGGGGGUACUCGAGUGGCGAACGGGUGAGUAACACGUGAGUAACCUGCCCUUGACUUCGGGAUAACUUCAGGAAACUGGGGCUAAUACCGGAUAGGAAUCCUUGCUGCAUGGUGGGGGUUGGAAAGCUUCGGCGGUUUUGGAUGGACUCGCGGCUUAUCAGCUUGUUGGUGGGGUAGUGGCUUACCAAGGCUUUGACGGGUAGCCGGCCUGAGAGGGCGACCGGCCACAUUGGGACUGAGAUACGGCCCAGACUCCUACGGGAGGCAGCAGUGGGGAAUAUUGCACAAUGGGCGGAAGCCUGAUGCAGCAACGCCGCGGGCGGGAGGACGGCCUUCGGGUUGUAAACCGCUUUCAGCAGGGGCGAAGCUUGUGGUGACGGUACCUGCAGAAGAAGCACCGGCUAACUACGUG